CGGGACGGGUGAGUAACGCGUGGAAAACCUGCCGUAUACUGGGGGAUAACACUUAGAAAUAGGUGCUAAUACCGCAUAAGCGCACAGCUUCGCAUGAAGCGGUGUGAAAAACUCUGGUGGUAUACGAUGGUUCCGCGUCUGAUUAGCUAGUUGGUGGGGUAAUGGCCUACCAAGGCAACGAUCAGUAGCCGGCCUGAGAGGGUGAACGGCCACAUUGGGACUGAGACACGGCCCAAACUCCUACGGAAGGCAGCAG
Molecule: ribosomal RNA, 256 nt
Filed under: uncultured bacterium
Lineage: Bacteria
Description: partial 16S ribosomal RNA
Rfam family: Bacterial small subunit ribosomal RNA
Source: RNAcentral